CCUAAUACAUGCAAGUCGAGCGGAUUGAUGGGAGCUUGCUCCCAUCAGUCAGCGGCGGACGGGUGAGUAACACGUGGGUAACCUGCCUGUAAGACUGGGAUAACUCCGGGAAACCGGGGCUAAUACCGGAUAACUCAUUUCCUCGCAUGAGGAAAUGUUGAAAGGUGGCUUUUAGCUAUCACUUACAGAUGGACCCGCGGCGCAUUAGCUAGUUGGUGAGGUAAUGGCUCACCAAGGCGACGAUGCGUAGCCGACCUGAGAGGGUGAUCGGCCACACUGGGACUGAGACACGGCCCAGACUCCUACGGGAGGCAGCAGUAGGGAAUCUUCCGCAAUGGACGAAAGUCUGACGGAGCAACGCCGCGUGAGUGAUGAAGGUUUUCGGAUCGUAAAGCUCUGUUUUAGGGAAGAACAAGUACCGUUCGAAUAGGGCGGUACC
Molecule: ribosomal RNA, 439 nt
Filed under: Bacillus sp. CC7
Lineage: Bacteria; Bacillati; Bacillota; Bacilli; Caryophanales; Bacillaceae
Description: bacterial SSU rRNA
Rfam family: Bacterial small subunit ribosomal RNA
Source: RNAcentral